Molecule: long non-coding RNA, 321 nt
Organism: Ahaetulla prasina
Lineage: Eukaryota; Metazoa; Chordata; Lepidosauria; Squamata; Colubridae
Exons: 5
Source: RefSeq, a predicted model, not a curated record
GCAAAGAAGCGUGCCCGUCACGUGACCCCCGAGAGCCGCACAGCCUCUAUAAAAAGGUCGACUGCGGCCUCCGCUUUCUCUUUUGGAAUCUGCCUUUGGCUGCGUUGCUGUAUACAAAAUCUCAAGCCAAUGCUGUCUGUAAAGGGUUUCACAAAUGAUUCUAUGAUCAUGGAACAAGAAUUGAUUCUUUGUUUGCAAAUAUGGGAACACUACCCAUUGAUGUGCUGGCCUUCAGGUUCUCUAAUAUGGAUAAGCUUUAGAUGAUCAAACAUGUCUUAAUGGAAUUGAGCUGUCUUUGAAGAACCUCAAGAAAAGGCAAGU